CGGACCGGCGCACGGGUGAGUAACGCGUAUGCAACUUACCUAUCAGGAGGGGGAGUAACCCGGCGAAAGUCGGACUAAUACCGCAUGAAGCAGGGGCCCCGCAUGGGGAUAUUUGCUAAAGAUUCAUCGCUGAUAGAUAGGCAUGCGUUCCAUUAGGCAGUUGGCGGGGUAACGGCCCACCAAACCGACGAUGGAUAGGGGUUCUGAGAGGAAGGUCCCCCACAUUGGUACUGAGACACGGACCAAACUCCUACGGGAGGCAGCAG
Molecule: ribosomal RNA, 266 nt
Filed under: uncultured bacterium
Lineage: Bacteria
Description: partial 16S ribosomal RNA
Rfam family: Bacterial small subunit ribosomal RNA
Source: RNAcentral